This 1189-nucleotide long non-coding RNA is filed under the name Marmota monax (woodchuck). Lineage: Eukaryota; Metazoa; Chordata; Mammalia; Rodentia; Sciuridae. The record is from RNAcentral.
CAGUGACUGCGCAGUCACACAGCUAAUGAGCCUCACUGGACUCAGCAUUCCCCGCAUGCCCCACAGGGCACCCAGCAGACUGCCCUUUCCCUCCUGGGAAUCUCCCGUGAGGCCACUGAGCAGGGACAGCGUCCCUGAGGGUUGGAGAUGUGCUCCCCCAGCACCCAGCUUGGUAUCUGGUAGACAGGGCAGGAGGGGGAACUGAAAGAUUGGUAUUCAUUCAAGUGCAGGGUGUGUGUGUGUGUGUGUGUGUGUGUGUGUUAAAGGGCACAAAGAAUCUGCAGCCAGGAAGUGACAGGAUCCUGAGGCUAAUGGAGAAGAAGGGGUGUAGCCGGGUGAGGGCAGAGGCAGGGAGGUCCAGGAGGCACUCGGAGCACUGAGGCUGGAAUUGAGGAGGCCGUGGUGGUGGGGUCUCAGGUGUCUAGAGGCUGAGUGGGUGGGGAUGAGCCACAGCCUGGACCUCAGGCUCUGGAGGACCACAAGAGGACCAGGGAGUGUCCUUUACAUAUGGAAAGAGCCCCAGAGGAGGAGCCAGGGGGUGUGGCCGAGAGGCAAGGAAUCCAGUUUUGGCCAAGGGGCCCCAGGUCCUCACAGUGGGGACAUCCAGCAUCUCCGAAGGUCUCUGGGACUUAGCAAUGACCAGAUGAACCCUGUCCCCAUCCCUGCAGUCAGCUUGUCACAUAGGACCUGGGGACCACUGCCUGGGCUACAGGACAGUAGGCGAGCACAGAAGGAAGGCAGCGGGUCUGGCUGGACCUGGGGGUGACCCCCAUCUGCUCCUGAGAUGUUCGCAGGUUCCUCUGUCCAGGUGCAGCUUUCGGGAGGGAGCGCAGGCCCAGGCUUGGCGGGAGAGGUCUGGGCCGCCUGCGCCUCGGCCCUAGGACAAGAGCAGAGGGGGCCUCACCCAGUGCCCCAGUCCCCAGAGCAGGCCGAGAUCAAGGAGGGUCCUGGAGAUUUCCCGCCCCUUUUAAUCCAGGCUGGGGACCCUCCAUUGUUUCCUGCUUCUGAACUGAGGGCCGGUGGCCUUUCCCAAACCUGCUAAUGAGUGACGUGGCCCAGGCAGGCCCACUGUGGGGAAGAGCCCAACACCGUGCAAACCCCUUCCCAUCACCUGGACAGAGCCGUGCCCCGUGGUGUUAUCUGAGGGUUUGUUCCCCAACCUCCGUUUCCACGAGGCUUUGGGCCUAGA